UAGGGAAUCUUCCGCAAUGGGCGAAAGCCUGACGGAGCAACGCCGCGUGAGUGAUGAAGGUCUUCGGAUCGUAAAACUCUGUUAUUAGGGAAGAACAAAUGUGUAAGUAACUAUGCACGUCUUGACGGUACCUAAUCAGAAAGCCACGGCUAACUACGUGCCAGCAGCCGCGGUAAUACGUAGGUGGCAAGCGUUAUCCGGAAUUAUUGGGCGUAAAGCGCGCGUAUGCGGUUUUUUAAGUCUGAUGUGAAAGCCCACGGCUCAACCGUGGAGGGUCAUUGGAAACUGGAAAACUUGAGUGCAGAAGAGGAAAGUGGAAUUCCAUGUGUAGCGGUGAAAUGCGCAGAGAUAUGGAGGAACACCAGUGGCGAAGGCGACUUUCUGGUCUGUAACUGACGCUGAUGUGCGAAAGCGUGGGGAUCAAACAGG
RNAcentral lists this ribosomal RNA (429 nucleotides) under Actinomycetes bacterium. Its description in RNAcentral is "Actinobacteria bacterium partial 16S ribosomal RNA". It matches the Rfam family "Bacterial small subunit ribosomal RNA", at positions 355 to 776 of the family's 1533-position model. Lineage: Bacteria; Bacillati; Actinomycetota; Actinomycetes. The record is from RNAcentral.